GCCUAUGAUGUUUUAAUCCAUAUUAGUGAGGUGUAGUGGAGCCAAGUCCCUGCAUUGCAGGGGGAACCUCCUUGGUGAAGCUAUAUUCCAUAAGAUCAUACUGGAAAUUUUCUGAGGC
Small nucleolar RNA from Ipomoea triloba (trilobed morning glory), 118 nucleotides. RefSeq annotates it as small nucleolar RNA Z278. NCBI's taxonomy places the organism in Eukaryota, Viridiplantae, Streptophyta, Magnoliopsida, Solanales, Convolvulaceae. The record is from RefSeq and is a predicted model, not a curated record. The transcript has a single exon.